This 482-nucleotide ribosomal RNA is filed under the name uncultured bacterium. RNAcentral's name for it is "partial 16S ribosomal RNA". It matches the Rfam family "Bacterial small subunit ribosomal RNA", at positions 30 to 507 of the family's 1533-position model. The record is from RNAcentral.
AUUGAACGCUGGCGGCAUGCUUUACACAUGCAAGUCGAACGGUAACAGGCCGCAAGGUGCUGACGAGUGGCGAACGGGUGAGUAAUGCAUCGGAACGUGCCCAGUCGUGGGGGAUAACUACUCGCAAGAGUAGCUAAUACCGCAUACGAUCUAUGGAUGAAAGCGGGGGACCGUAAGGCCUCGCGCGAUUGGAGCGGCCGAUGUCAGAUUAGGUAGUUGGUGGGGUAAAGGCUCACCAAGCCAACGAUCUGUAGCUGGUCUGAGAGGACGACCAGCCACACUGGGACUGAGACACGGCCCAGACUCCUACGGGAGGCAGCAGUGGGGAAUUUUGGACAAUGGGCGCAAGCCUGAUCCAGCAAUGCCGCGUGCAGGAAGAAGGCCUUCGGGUUGUAAACUGCUUUUGUACGGAACGAAACGGCUCUGGUUAAUACCCGGGGCUAAUGACGGUACCGUAAGAAUAGGCACCGGCUAACUACGUG